RNAcentral lists this transfer RNA (62 nucleotides) under Myrmecophilus kubotai. RNAcentral's name for it is "tRNA-Thr". It matches the Rfam family "tRNA". Rfam says of the family: Transfer RNA (tRNA) molecules are approximately 80 nucleotides in length. Their secondary structure includes four short double-helical elements and three loops (D, anti-codon, and T loops). The record is from RNAcentral. Lineage: Eukaryota; Metazoa; Arthropoda; Insecta; Orthoptera; Myrmecophilidae.
GUUCUAAUAGUUUAAUUAAAACAUUGGUCUUGUAAACCAAAAUUGACUAUUGUCUUAUAACU